RNAcentral lists this ribosomal RNA (427 nucleotides) under uncultured bacterium. Its description in RNAcentral is "partial 16S ribosomal RNA". It matches the Rfam family "Bacterial small subunit ribosomal RNA", at positions 355 to 774 of the family's 1533-position model. The record is from RNAcentral.
UGGGGAAUAUUGGACAAUGGGCGAAAGCCUGAUCCAGCCAUGCCGCGUGUGUGAAGAAGGUCUUCGGAUUGUAAAGCACUUUAAGUUGGGAGGAAGGGCAUUAACCUAAUACGUUAGUGUUUUGACGUUACCGACAGAAUAAGCACCGGCUAACUCUGUGCCAGCAGCCGCGGUAAUAAAGAGGGUGCAAGCGUUAAUCUGAAUUACUGGGCGUAAAGCGCGCGUAGGUGGUUUGUUAAGUUGGAUGUGAAAUCCCCGGGCUCAACCUGGGAACUGCAUUCAAAACUGACUGACUAGAGUAUGGUAGAGGGUGGUGGAAUUUCCUGUGUAGCGGUGAAAUGCGUAGAUAUAGGAAGGAACACCAGUGGCGAAGGCGACCACCUGGACUAAUACUGACACUGAGGUGCGAAAGCGUGGGGAGCAAACA